UGGGGGAUAUUGCACAAUGGGCGAAAGCCUGAUGCAGCGACGCCGCGUGGGGGAUGAAGGCCUUCGGGUUGUAAACUUCUUUUGCUCUGAACAAGGCGCACCAUGGGGUGUGUUGAGUGUAGGGGUUGAUUAGCGCCGGCUAACUACGUGCCAGCAGCCGCGGUAAUACGUAGGGCGCGAGCGUUGUCCGGAAUUAUUGGGCGUAAAGGGCUUGUAGGUGGCUGGUUGCGUCUGUCGUGAAAGCUCAUGGCUUAACUGUGGGUUUGCGGUGGGUACGGGCUGGAGUGAGUGCAGUAGGGGAGGCUGGAAUUCCUGGUGUAGCGGUGGAAUGCGCAGAUAUCAGGAGGAAUACCGGUGGCGAAGGCGGGUCUCUGGGCUGUUACUGACACUGAGGAGCGAAAGCAUGGGGAGCGAACAGG
Molecule: ribosomal RNA, 419 nt
Filed under: bacterium
Lineage: Bacteria
Description: partial 16S ribosomal RNA
Rfam family: Bacterial small subunit ribosomal RNA
Source: RNAcentral